This 483-nucleotide ribosomal RNA is filed under the name uncultured bacterium. RNAcentral's name for it is "partial 16S ribosomal RNA". It matches the Rfam family "Bacterial small subunit ribosomal RNA", at positions 28 to 507 of the family's 1533-position model. The record is from RNAcentral.
GACGAACGCUGGCGGCGUGCUUAACACAUGCAAGUCGAACGCUGAAGCUCAGCUUUUGUUGGGUGGAUGAGUGGCGAACGGGUGAGUAACACGUGAGUAACCUGCCUCCUUCUUUGGGAUAACGCCCGGAAAAGGGUGCUAAUACUGGAUAUUCACUGGUCUUCGCAUGGGGGUUGGUGGAAAGGGUUUUUCUGGUGUGGGAUGGGCUCGCGGCCUAUCAGCUUGUUGGUGGGGUUAUGGCCUACCAAGGCUUUGCCGGGUAGCCGGCCUGAGAGGGUGACCGGUCACAUUGGGACUGAGCUACGGCCCAGACUACUACGGGGGGCAGAAGUGGGGAAUAUUGCACAAUGGGCGCAAGCCUGAUGCAGCGACGCCGCGUGAGGGAUGGAGGCCUUCGGGUUGUGAACCUCUUUCGCUCAUGGUCAAGCCGCAACAAUGGUUGUGGUGAGGGUAGUGGGUAAAGAAGCGCCGGCUAACUACGUG